RNAcentral lists this transfer RNA (72 nucleotides) under Camelus bactrianus (Bactrian camel). It matches the Rfam family "tRNA". From Rfam's summary of the family: Transfer RNA (tRNA) molecules are approximately 80 nucleotides in length. Lineage: Eukaryota; Metazoa; Chordata; Mammalia; Artiodactyla; Camelidae. RNAcentral also lists the same sequence under 2 other names. The record is from Rfam by way of RNAcentral.
GAGGGUAUAGCUUAGUGGUAGAGUGUGUGCUUAGCAUGCAUGAGGUCCUGGAUUCAAUCCCCAGUACCUCUG